GCGUCGGUAUGCAAAUGGCUGAAGCAAGCCGCCCGUAAAGCGGUCACGACCGAAACGCUGGAGGUUCGAAUCCUUCCCGGCGCA
Molecule: transfer RNA, 84 nt
Filed under: Micropruina glycogenica
Lineage: Bacteria; Bacillati; Actinomycetota; Actinomycetes; Propionibacteriales; Nocardioidaceae
Also listed under: 1 other name
Description: tRNA-Tyr
Rfam family: tRNA
About the family: Transfer RNA (tRNA) molecules are approximately 80 nucleotides in length.
Source: RNAcentral